AUGGCCGCUAGGUGGCAGUAAAGUCAUACCUGUUUCAAGCGUACAAAAAAGAGGAGCGAGUUCGAGGGGAGAUAGCGUUCCUUUCAGGCUUUCAGUUUCUACAUUCACUGUGCAUUCUCGUCAGAGUCAAUGUCUUUGGGUCUGUCUGUCUAACGUCAUUUUCAAUUUUGAUAUGUUAGAAUGGGAAACCUUGGCUACAGUAUUUUUUGCAUGAUGAAAACACUCUGGAAGGAGUUACCUGAGAACGAAAAGACUCCUUACAAAGUCAAAGCUACCCAAAUCAGUUACUAUGCCUAUUUUGAAACACUGACUCCUGCAGAGCAAAGAGACGAGCUGUUCAGUUUUGAAGGGAUUUCACUUCAAAUGUUUUGCAAUUCAAUAUGGAUUGUCAAGCCCACUUCUGCAACUUUAACAUCCCCAGAGCGUUCAAGUGAUCCGCAAUCCGAUAUAUCAAGACUCUGGAUGGAAUUAAGUGAGGAAGAGAAGACUGAAUACAACGAAGAAGCUACACAAGCGAAUUACUCUUACAAAAUGAAGUAUUCUGCUUAUCUUAACACUCUGAGUCUCUGACUCCUGAACAAAAAGAUUUCGAACUCUUUAAGCUGUAUCGAAUGGCUUCAAAAAGGCUGAAGAUGGACAGACAUUGAGACUAAACCGGCUGAAAAUGUAACAAUUAAUUGAAGUAUGUUUCACCAACUUACAAACUUCGUGAAGUGCCUAUCAAUACUAAGUUAGUGGUCGUCAAAUUGGUGUUGAACAUCCGUUCAUUCAUAAUCUAGAAAUGGGUAACCAAGAAAUUCUUUGAAGGUUUUAUGUGUUUAAUUUUUUAAAAAGAGGGGACUAGUAUAUAUGUUGAAUGUAUUUAGUCGCUCUCACAGUUUAAAUAAAAUGAUUCCGUUCAAAAAA
Long non-coding RNA from Daphnia pulicaria, 906 nucleotides. RefSeq lists it as uncharacterized. The transcript has 5 exons. Lineage: Eukaryota; Metazoa; Arthropoda; Branchiopoda; Diplostraca; Daphniidae. The record is from RefSeq and is a predicted model, not a curated record.